AUGUCCCCAUCCCCAUCGCUGUCCCAUACCUGUCCUGUCCCCAUGUCCCCAACCCUGUGUCUCCAUUCUUGUACCCCUGUCCCCAACCCCAUCCCCAUGUCCCCAUUCCUGUCCCUGUGUCUCCAUGUGCCCAUCCCCAUGUCCCCAUCCCCAUUUCCCAGUCUCGCUGUCACUGUCCCCAUCCCUGCCUCAUCCUCAACCCACCUCCAUGUCCCCAUCCCUGUCCCCACAUCCCUGUGUCUCCAUCCUUGUCCCUGUGUCCCUCUACCUGUCCCCAUUCCCCAGUGUCCCCGCGUCCCCAUCCCACCUGGCAGAUGGACUCCAGCGUCUCCGUGUACUUCUCCUCCGUCUGCCAGAUCUCCUGGAGGCAGCAGAGCUGCUUGUCCACCCCGGGUGCCUUGUGCUGCGGGGACAGGGCAGGCUCGUGAGGGACCCAGGUGUCCGGGAGGGACUCAGGCAUCCGGGGAACCCAGGCGUCCAGGCACUCACCGCGGGCCCGGGAGCCUCCGUCCGCAUGAGGUCCUCAUAGAUGUCAUCGCCGUCAGUGCCUUCGGCCUCGACGCAGUCGUAGAGAUCGUCGUCCUCCUCCGCCGUGUCGCUGCGCCAGGCCCAGUCCUGCCCCACUGCCACAUCGCCGGGGCAGGACCCCCGAAGUACCCCGAGAACCCCCCGGUACCCCCCAGAACCCCAACAUACCCCCAAGUACCCUCCAGUACCCCAAAGUGCCACCCACAUGCCCCGAAGUACCCCGUGGUAUCUCAAAGUACCCCCAAAGAACAUCCCGGAACCCCAACAUACCCCCAGUGCACCCCCAAGUACCCUCCAGUACCCCAAAGUGCCACCCACAUGCCCCGAAGUACCCCGUGGUAUCUCAAAGUACCCCCAAAGAACAUCCCGGAACCCCAACAUACCCCCAGUGCACCCCCAAGUACCCUCCAGUACCCCAAAGUGCCACCCAAGUACCCCCAAGUACCCUGUGGUACCUCAAAGUACCCCCAAAGACCAUCCCGGAACUCCAACAUACCCCCAGUGUACCCCCAAGUACCCUCCAGUACCCCAAAGUGCUGCCCAAGUACCCCCAAGUAG
RNAcentral lists this long non-coding RNA (1086 nucleotides) under Apteryx haastii (Great spotted kiwi). Its description in RNAcentral is "lncRNA (ENSAHAG00000001256.1)". Lineage: Eukaryota; Metazoa; Chordata; Aves; Apterygiformes; Apterygidae. The record is from RNAcentral.